This is a long non-coding RNA of Saccostrea cuccullata (small rock oyster), 1887 nucleotides long. RefSeq lists it as uncharacterized. The transcript has 2 exons. Lineage: Eukaryota; Metazoa; Mollusca; Bivalvia; Ostreida; Ostreidae. The record is from RefSeq and is a predicted model, not a curated record.
UCAUCUGGAGUUAAUGUUAAAAACAAUUUUUUGAGAUUAAAAACAAAUAUUUUCAUGAUCUUUUUUGGCAUUGUACAUGUUUGUUCAGGUUUUAAACAUGCAUUGUUUAAUGCAGUACUCUGUCAUAUUAACAAAAUGGUUUUAUUUUUACAGUCAUCAACAUGGAAGAUAUGUUUUGUUCCUAACCAUCUAUAAUCAAUUCUCUAUGAAGUUCAGACUGUCUGCUCUUCCUUUGGAAAUACACAGUUAGUCAACCAACAUAGAAACACACAAACUUGAAGGAUUCUCUAGUGAGGGCUUAUGGAAACGAUCUAUGUCUACUCUUAGAAUGGUGAAAGACUAUCAGAUUAUGCAAAGACUAACAGAAUAUCCUCUCUUGGAACACUGAAACAAGAAAACCAAACUUAAGAUGAUGGAGGAUUUAAGAAGAACAUAGAUAAAUAUGAUUUCCAACGAAUUUAACCAGUACGAUCAUAGAUUGUGGUUUACAGGAUGACAAAGAAAGGACCCAGGAUUGUAUCUUUCAAUGUCAGACACUGACUAUGGAUAAAGUGUAAUCAUUUAUCAAACUGAGAUCUAGUCAAAUCAAGUAUUGAAAACAUGAUUUUCUGAUAGUAUGAGAUCUUCAAAAAAAAUUAAUUCUCACGGACCUCAAAGUAUCUGAAUGUGACUUUUAUUUUUACCAAUUCAUAUUGAAGACUGUUGUUAUGUAUGGGAAUUACACAUUUAAACCUUUUAUUUUUCAUCUAAUUUUUACAACCCCCUAGAAAUUACAGAGAUAUCCAGAUGCUGGAUUUAAUGUUAUUAUUUAACUUUCCUGGAAUUGUAAAUAUAUUUUGUUUUGUAUGUAUCAUGUUUAAUUUUGAAUUUAAAAUUGGUCUCAAUAAGACCCCCAAUAAAGAUGCAAGUGUCACAUAAUCUGUGGUUUAAUAAUAUCUUGAAUAUCUUUAUCAUACCAUAUUCAUCAUACUAAUUACAUAUAGAAUGGUUGUAGGAAUACACUUUGUUGUUUAGGACACUUUGUCAAGGUCAAAGCAUAAGAUUAUUGAGAUGACUUCUUUGACAAUAAUUUGUAACCUACAAACUUCACAUAAUAAGUAAAGAAUGAAUCGAAGAUUUUCUAUAGAUUUUUGGAUCAUUUUUCUCCUGGGUAAAAGUCAGUUGCUGAGAUAAUUAAUACUAGCCUAGCCUAAUGAUGUAACUUUAACUAGAGACUUUAUAUCUGCUAUAUUGGGUGGCAUGGCACAUUCUUUGGGAAGAAUUGAAAUGUAAAUCAAAUGUACAAUGUUCAAGGGUGUUUAUAUGACUAUUACUAUGUAAUACCUAGGGUUUCUGUAAAAAUCCUAUAUUCACUACAUAGAUAAAGACCGGUAUAAUAUAUAUUUUACACUAUGAUGAAGGAAAAAAAGGUCAAAAGCUCUCGCCUUCAUAUCUUUCAUAUUCUGUCAUACACAACAAUAGAUGAAUUGCAGUCAUAUAACAAACUGAGGUCUAAUCAAAUCCUAGAAUUGAUUUUCUGAUAGUAUGAGAUCUUCAAAAAAAAAAAAAAAUAAUUCCCAGACUUCAAAGUAUUUAAAUGUGACUUUUAUUUUUACCAAUUCAUAUUGAAGACAGUUGUUAUGUAUGAGAAGUAUACAUUUAAACCUUUCAUUUUUCAUCUUAUUUCUACAACCCCUAACAAAUUACAUAGAUGUUUAAAAGCUAGCUUUGGUGUAAUUAUUACUUUCCUGGAACUGUAAAUACAUUUUGUUUGUGUAUGUGUGUGUCCUAUUUCGAAUUUAAUAGGUCUCAAUAGGACCCCCAUAAAGAUGUAAGUGUCCCCUGAUCUGUGAUGUAAUAAUAUCUUGAAUAUUUCUAUCAACCAUUAGACUUCAUGCUUACUACACA